Molecule: ribosomal RNA, 492 nt
Filed under: uncultured bacterium
Lineage: Bacteria
Description: bacterial SSU rRNA
Rfam family: Bacterial small subunit ribosomal RNA
Source: RNAcentral
GAUGAACGCUAGCGGCAGGCUUAACACAUGCAAGUCGAGGGGCAGCGCGAUGUAGCAAUACAUUGGCGGCGACCGGCGCACGGGUGCGUAACACGUAUGGAAUCUGCCCUGUACUGGGGAAUAGCCCGGAGAAAUCCGGAUUAAUGCCCCAUAACAGACGAAGUGGCAUCACUUUGUCUUGAAAGCUCCGGCGGUACAGGAUGACCAUGCGCACGAUUAGCUAGUUGGUGAGGUAACGGCUCACCAAGGCUACGAUCGUUAGGGGGCCUGAGAGGGUUAUCCCCCACACUGGUACUGAGACACGGACCAGACUCCUACGGGAGGCAGCAGUGAGGAAUAUUGCGCAAUGGAGGCAACUCUGACGCAGCCAUGCCGCGUGCAGGAAGAAGGCGCUACGCGUUGUAAACUGCUUUUACCCGGGAAGAAACCCCUCUACGUGUGGAGGGUUGACGGUACCGGAGGAAUAAGCACCGGCUAACUUCGUGCCAGCAG